RNAcentral lists this transfer RNA (90 nucleotides) under Bombyx mori (domestic silkworm). RNAcentral describes it as "Bm_192". The stretch from base 6 to 78 matches the Rfam family "tRNA". Rfam says of the family: Transfer RNA (tRNA) molecules are approximately 80 nucleotides in length. Their secondary structure includes four short double-helical elements and three loops (D, anti-codon, and T loops). Lineage: Eukaryota; Metazoa; Arthropoda; Insecta; Lepidoptera; Bombycidae. The record is from RNAcentral.
AAACAGUCCCUGUGGCGCAGAGGAUAGCGCUUUGGACUUCUAAUCCAAAGGUCGUGGGUUCGUUCCCCACCAGGGAUGCGCAUCUCUUUU